GUUAAUCGGGGCAGGGUGAGUCGACCCCUAAGGCGAGGCCGAAAGGCGUAGUCGAUGGGAAACAGGUUAAUAUUCCUGUACUUGGUGUUACUGCGAAGGGGGGACGGAGAAGGCUAUGUUAGCCGGGCGACGGUUGUCCCGGUUUAAGCAUGUAGGCUGGUUGUCCAGGCAAAUCCGGAUAAUCAAGGCUGAGGUGUGAUGACGAGGCACUACGGUGCUGAAGUAACAAAUGCCCUGCUUCCAGGAAAAGCCUCUAAGCAUCAGGUAACAUCAAAUCGUACCCCAAACCG
This 290-nucleotide ribosomal RNA is filed under the name Klebsiella pneumoniae. Its description in RNAcentral is "partial 23S ribosomal RNA". It matches the Rfam family "Bacterial large subunit ribosomal RNA", at positions 1364 to 1656 of the family's 2925-position model. Lineage: Bacteria; Pseudomonadati; Pseudomonadota; Gammaproteobacteria; Enterobacterales; Enterobacteriaceae. The record is from RNAcentral.